Molecule: long non-coding RNA, 778 nt
Filed under: Gallus gallus (chicken)
Lineage: Eukaryota; Metazoa; Chordata; Aves; Galliformes; Phasianidae
Description: lncRNA (ENSGALG00010021442.1)
Source: RNAcentral
GUAGAAGUACACUUAUAUUUCAGUAUUCAAUGAUACUCUGUUCAUGGUGACGAAAUUCACACUAGUAAUCAAUGCUGGAAAUUCCUUAGAGUCAGUCCAACACAUGCUAUUGUAUUUAAUAAUUGGAUUGUGUAUUCAAGGUCAUGCGCUCUUCAUCAUAUGCAGAUACUUACAGAGAAAUUAAACCACCACAAUAAUAUAACUACAAUAUUGUAUGUUUUUCCUGGGGCACAUGGAGCAAAAUGAGAAAAAACAAUCAUAUGGCUCUCAAAUGGAUUUUCCUUCACACGCAGUCAAAAUAUGUCACCGCUCAUUUUUGUGCAAGUUUUUCAAGUUCUGAAGAUUAUGAGUUGAGAAGAAAUGACAGCAGUGGCCUUGGAAAUUGGUUGGAAGACAUGCAAAGAUGUGGUGAUGAUGAAGAAAACAGCACAGAAAGAUAAAGAAGAAAGGAAGGAUGGAUGCUCCUGCAACCUGAAGACUGGACCAAGAGGCAGCAGAUCUGGAGUGAGCUUUCAUAUUUGCCACAGAGCUCUUAUGUAAGUUUGGAAUGGUCUCUUAGAUGCUGAGCCAGUAAUAUUAACUCAGCACAUCCCACUGACUUCAGUUUCUGGCAAGACUUGAAUCACACAUGACAUCCUAAACUACCAAAUUUUUUCCUGUUACUCUAGCCACGCUACAUAGAAUAAAGCUUUCUUUUACCUAAGAUAAUGGAGGUGUUCUUUUGAGUUUAUAUACUAUAAAGGUUCAGUCUUUGUUACGCACACAAAAUUACGCUGGA